RNAcentral lists this long non-coding RNA (238 nucleotides) under Elaeis guineensis (African oil palm). RNAcentral's name for it is "long non-coding RNA (EGUI_LNC040146)". The record is from RNAcentral. Lineage: Eukaryota; Viridiplantae; Streptophyta; Magnoliopsida; Arecales; Arecaceae.
UGAACUCCCAUGCAAGCUAGAUUGUUUAGAGUUUAAACUAUGCACCCGUUUUCUCUCAGUUGCACAAAAGCUCGCGGGCUCGUGUCGCAUUCAAAUCGCUGCACUAGGCACUCGUUCACCUCUCACCCAGGCACCCAUGUGAUUGCUCAAACCCACACUCGCACCCGUCUGCUGUGAAGACCCAGGCACCCAUUCACCCAUGGCCACGCUCAUGUUUGAAUCCAUUUGGCCCGCACCC